Molecule: ribosomal RNA, 253 nt
Filed under: uncultured bacterium
Lineage: Bacteria
Description: partial 16S ribosomal RNA
Rfam family: Bacterial small subunit ribosomal RNA
Source: RNAcentral
UACAGAGGGGGCAAGCGUUGUUCGGAAUUACUGGGCGUAAAGGGCGCGUAGGCGGCCUGUUAAGUCGAACGUGAAAUCCCCGGGCUCAACCCGGGAACUGCGUCCGAUACUGGCAGGCUUGAAUCCGGGAGAGGGAUGCGGAAUUCCAGGUGUAGAGGUGAAAUUCGUAGAUAUUCGGCGGAACACCAGUGGCGAAGGCGACUCACUGGCCCGAUACUGACGCUGAGGCGCGAAAGCGUGGGGAGCAAACAGG